CGAUAGUGAACCAGUACCGUGAGGGAAAGGCGAAAAGAACCCCGGCGAGGGGAGUGAAAAAGAACCUGAAACCGUGUACGUACAAGCAGUGGGAGCCUCUUAAUGGGGUGACUGCGUACCUUUUGUAUAAUGGGUCAGCGACUUAUAUUCUGUAGCAAGGUUAACCGAAUAGGGGAGCCGAAGGGAAACCGAGUCUUAACUGGGCGUUAAGUUGCAGGGUAUAGACCCGAAACCCGGUGAUCUAGCCAUGGGCAGGUUGAAGGUUGGGUAACACUAACUGGAGGACCGAACCGACUAAUGUUGAAAAAUUAGCGGAUGACUUGUGGCUGGGGGUGAAAGGCCAAUCAAACCGGGAGAUAGCUGGUUCUCCCCGAAAGCUAUUUAGGUAGCGCCUCGUGAAUUCAUCUCCGGGGGUAGAGCACUGUUUCGGCAAGGGGGUCAUCCCGACUUACCAACCCGAUGCAAACUGCGAAUACCGGAGAAUGUUAUCACGGGAGACACACGGCGGGUGCUAACGUCCGUCGUGAAGAGGGAAACAACCCAGACCGCCAGCUAAGGUCCCAAAGUCAUGGUUAAGUGGGAAACGAUGUGGGAAGGCCCAGACAGCCAGGAUGUUGGCUUAGAAGCAGCCAUCAUUUAAAGAAAGCGUAAUAGCUCACUGGUCGAGUCGGCCUGCGCGGAAGAUGUAACGGGGCUAAACCAUGCACCGAAGCUGCGGCAGCGACACUAUGUGUUGUUGGGUAGGGGAGCGUUCUGUAAGCCUGUGAAGGUGGCCUGUGAGGGUUGCUGGAGGUAUCAGAAGUGCGAAUGCUGACAUAAGUAACGAUAAAGCGGGUGAAAAGCCCGCUCGCCGGAAGACCAAGGGUUCCUGUCCAACGUUAAUCGGGGCAGGGUGAGUCGACCCCUAAGGCGAGGCCGAAAGGCGUAGUCGAUGGGAAACAGGUUAAUAUUCCUGUACUUGGUGUUACUGCGAAGGGGGGACGGAGAAGGCUAUGUUGGCCGGGCGACGGUUGUCCCGGUUUAAGCGUGUAGGCUGGUUUUCCAGGCAAAUCCGGAAAACCAAGGCUGAGGCGUGAUGACGAGGCACUACGGUGCUGAAGCGACAAAUGCCCUGCUUCCAGGAAAAGCCUCUAAGCAUCAGGUAACAUCAAAUCGUACCCAAAACCGACACAGGUGGUCAGGUAGAGAAUACCAAGGCGCUUGAGAGAACUCGGGUGAAGGAACUAGGCAAAAUGGUGCCGUAACUUCGGGAGAAGGCACGCUGAUAUGUAGGUGAAGCGACUUGCUCGUGGAGCUGAAAUCAGUCGAAGAUACCAGCUGGCUGCAACUGUUUAUUAAAAACACAGCACUGUGCAAACACGAAAGUGGACGUAUACGGUGUGACGCCUGCCCGGUGCCGGAAGGUUAAUUGAUGGGGUUAGCGGUAACGCGAAGCUCUUGAUCGAAGCCCCGGUAAACGGCGGCCGUAACUAUAACGGUCCUAAGGUAGCGAAAUUCCUUGUCGGGUAAGUUCCGACCUGCACGAAUGGCGUAAUGAUGGCCAGGCUGUCUCCACCCGAGACUCAGUGAAAUUGAACUCGCUGUGAAGAUGCAGUGUACCCGCGGCAAGACGGAAAGACCCCGUGAACCUUUACUAUAGCUUGACACUGAACAUUGAGCCUUGAUGUGUAGGAUAGGUGGGAGGCUUUGAAGUGUGGACGCCAGUCUGCAUGGAGCCGACCUUGAAAUACCACCCUUUAAUGUUUGAUGUUCUAACGUUGGCCCGUAAUCCGGGUUGCGGACAGUGUCUGGUGGGUAGUUUGACUGGGGCGGUCUCCUCCUAAAGAGUAACGGAGGAGCACGAAGGUUGGCUAAUCCUGGUCGGACAUCAGGAGGUUAGUGCAAUGGCAUAAGCCAGCUUGACUGCGAGCGUGACGGCGCGAGCAGGUGCGAAAGCAGGUCAUAGUGAUCCGGUGGUUCUGAAUGGAAGGGCCAUCGCUCAACGGAUAAAAGGUACUCCGGGGAUAACAGGCUGAUACCGCCCAAGAGUUCAUAUCGACGGCGGUGUUUGGCACCUCGAUGUCGGCUCAUCACAUCCUGGGGCUGAAGUAGGUCCCAAGGGUAUGGCUGUUCGCCAUUUAAAGUGGUACGCGAGCUGGGUUUAGAACGUCGUGAGACAGUUCGGUCCCUAUCUGCCGUGGGCGCUGGAGAACUGAGGGGGGCUGCUCCUAGUACGAGAGGACCGGAGUGGACGCAUCACUGGUGUUCGGGUUGUCAUGCCAAUGGCACUGCCCGGUAGCUAAAUGCGGAAGAGAUAAGUGCUGAAAGCAUCUAAGCACGAAACUUGCCCCGAGAUG
Molecule: ribosomal RNA, 2336 nt
Filed under: Escherichia coli
Lineage: Bacteria; Pseudomonadati; Pseudomonadota; Gammaproteobacteria; Enterobacterales; Enterobacteriaceae
Description: partial 23S ribosomal RNA
Rfam family: Bacterial large subunit ribosomal RNA
Source: RNAcentral